Abrus precatorius (Indian licorice) is the source of this 2823-nucleotide RNA transcript. It is a transcript of the gene named LRR receptor-like serine/threonine-protein kinase FEI 1, with no coding region annotated. Lineage: Eukaryota; Viridiplantae; Streptophyta; Magnoliopsida; Fabales; Fabaceae. The transcript is spliced from 15 exons. The record is from RefSeq and is a predicted model, not a curated record.
GCACACACUCGCACUCGCUCUUUGGAAUCACAGAAAUCUCAGGCACAGCAAACUCAACACAAGGCAGUGAGAGUGAGACAGGGUUUUAUUUUAACUUAUUUUCUUCUUAUUCCUUUACAGUUCAACCUGCAUUUCUCUCUCACUUUCGCAUCUCAGAUCGAAAUCCAGGUUGAAGCAUUCCCUCGUAUUCUGUCAUUGCAAGCCGUGAAGAUGCGUCAUUCAAAAUGGGAGUGUAUACAUCUGUCUGCACUGCUGAUGUUCGUACUAACUAGAUAACUACAUGGUGGAGAGAGACAUUUUAGAUACUGCUUUCUCAGAUGACUGUUAUUAGCCGUAUUAUUAUUGAACAGUGUUGCUAUGGGCAUUUGUCGCUUGAAAUGGCAAUGGCCGUGGCUUCUUUACAUUCUGCUGAUACACAUUGUAAUCAAUCAAAGUGAAGCAAUCAGUCCUGAUGGUGAGGUACUUCUCAGCUUUAGGACAGCAGUUGUUAGUUCUGACGGUAUCCUGUUACAGUGGAGGCCAGAGGAUCCUGACCCAUGUAAAUGGAAAGGAGUGAAGUGUGAUCCAAAAACCAAGAGUGUAACACAUCUGAGUCUAUCUCACCAUAAGUUAAGUGGGUCUAUAUCACCUGACCUUGGGAAGCUAGAGAAUCUGAGGGUUCUUGCUCUUCAUAACAACAACUUCUAUGGGACAAUUCCAUCAGAACUGGGAAAUUGCACUGAAUUGGAAGGAAUAUUCUUACAGGGUAAUUACCUUAGUGGAAUGAUUCCAAGUGAAAUAGGAAACCUUUCAUUGCUUCAAAAUUUGGAUAUAUCAAGCAAUUCCCUCAGUGGGAAUAUUCCUGCAUCACUUGGGAAGUUGUAUAAUCUCAAAAAUUUCAAUUUAUCAACCAAUUUUCUGGUCGGACCGAUCCCUUCUGAUGGUGUCCUUGCCAACUUUACUGGAAGCUCCUUUGUUGGAAAUCGUGGUUUGUGUGGAGUGAAAAUCAAUUCAACAUGUAAAGAUGAUGGUUCGCCUGAGACAAAUACUCAAUCUACUUCCUCUGACCAGAAUCAAUUUGGAAAAAAGAAAUAUUCUGGCCGGCUGCUCAUUAGUGCAUCAGCAACUGUGGGUGCACUACUUUUGGUGGCACUCAUGUGCUUCUGGGGUUGUUUUCUUUAUAAAAAGUUUGGUAAAAAUGACAGAAUAAGUCUGGCAAUGGAUGUUGGUUCAGGUGCAUCAAUUGUUAUGUUUCAUGGAGACCUACCAUAUUCUUCAAAAGACAUUAUUAAGAAACUGGAGUCUUUGAAUGAGGAACACAUAAUAGGGAUAGGGGGAUUCGGAACUGUUUACAAGCUUACUAUGGAUGAUGGGAAUGAAUUUGCUUUGAAAAGGAUUGUAAAAUUGAAUGAGGGGUUUGAUAGAUUUUUUGAGAGAGAACUUGAAAUUCUUGGUAGCAUUAAACACCGUUAUCUAGUGAAUUUACGAGGAUAUUGCAAUUCACCUGCAUCAAAGUUGUUAAUAUAUGACUACCUACCUGGUGGUAGUCUUGAUGAAGCUCUUCAUGAAAAAUCUGAGCCACUAGACUGGGAUGCACGCUUGAAUAUAAUUGUGGGAGCUGCAAAAGGGCUUGCAUACUUGCAUCAUGACUGUUCCCCUAGGAUUAUACAUCGAGACAUAAAAUCAAGCAACAUUUUGCUUGAUGGAAACUUGGAUGCUCGGGUCUCUGAUUUUGGACUUGCUAAACUACUGGAGGAUGAAGAAUCUCACAUCACCACUAUUGUUGCUGGAACAUUUGGUUAUCUAGCUCCAGUAUUGGUCUUUCUUCUGGCCAUUAGAGAGAGAGAGGGAGAGAGGACAAAUGUUGCCAAACCAACCAAAGGAACGAGGAAAAUGGCUGAAUAUGAUUAAAAUCUUUAUUAUUUUUCUUAACAUGGAGUAAAGGAGCUGCUAAUAAUCAAUAGAUGAGUUCAGCUUGACAAUUUUGUGACAUUGAAAGGGCUGGUUAUAUUUGGGGUGUGCUGAAAUUUGGAUAUUUGAUUGGUUUUAGAUUUUAACUAAUUGUUGUCUGAGCAAGCCUCUGUUACUUCAUGGCAGAGUAUAUGCAAAGUGGGAGAGCAACUGAGAAGACUGAUGUGUAUAGCUUUGGUGUGCUGACACUUGAAGUGCUGAGUGGAAAGCGACCAACAGAUGCAUCAUUCAUUGAAAAGGGUCUCAAUAUUGUCGGUUGGUUGAAUUUUCUAAUUACCGAAAAUAGGCCGAGGGAAAUUGUUGACCCUCUAUGUGAGCGAGUGCAGAUGGAGAGCCUUGAUGCCUUGCUCUCUGUGGCUAUUCAGUGUGUUUCCUCAAGUCCAGAGGAUCGACCCACUAUGCACCGAGUGGUCCAGCUGCUUGAGCCAGAGGUCGUAACUCCAUGUCCUAGUGACUUCUAUGACUCCAACUCGGAUUAAAAAGCUUGCAAUGACAAACUAAACGUAUGUUGUAUUUGCAUCCACGUCACUGCAAAUGACUUGCAAGUCAGAAGCAAUGAAAGAGACAGAAUCAGCAGGCUUACUUUCCUUCUCAGUUGCAUUCAUUCUUAACUGAAAUUGAUGAUGAGAGGUCCUUCACUACACCACUUAUCGAUAGAAGUUGUGGUUCUCCAUCACAUGUCAUCAUUGGACAUGUUCAUACAUUUCUUUGUCUUCGUGAAUAGAGUUGCAUGUGUUACUGGAUCGAUCGUGGUUCCACUCUUCCUCCUGUUUUUUCUUCUUUUUCCCUUUUCUUUUUGCUAGCCUUUGUAAUCUUUGUUACAUUUGUUCACUCCAAUUUAAGUGUAUAUGAGUAUGUACAAGUUCAGAUGGC